This 568-nucleotide ribosomal RNA is filed under the name uncultured bacterium. Its description in RNAcentral is "bacterial SSU rRNA". It matches the Rfam family "Bacterial small subunit ribosomal RNA", at positions 338 to 916 of the family's 1533-position model. The record is from RNAcentral.
CCUACGGGAGGCAGCAGUGGGGAAUAUUGCACAAUGGGCGAAAGCCUGAUGCAGCGACGCCGCGUGAGGGAUGACGGCCUUCGGGUUGUAAACCUCUUUCAGCAGGGAAGAAGCGAGAGUGACGGUACCUGCAGAAGAAGCGCCGGCUAACUACGUGCCAGCAGCCGCGGUAAUACGUAGGGCGCAAGCGUUGUCCGGAAUUAUUGGGCGUAAAGAGCUCGUAGGCGGCUUGUUGCGUCGGUUGUGAAAGCCCGGGGCUUAACCCCGGGUCUGCAGUCGAUACGGGCAGGCUAGAGUGUGGUAGGGGAGAUCGGAAUUCCUGGUGUAGCGGUGAAAUGCGCAGAUAUCAGGAGGAACACCGGUGGCGAAGGCGGAUCUCUGGGCCAUUACUGACGCUGAGGAGCGAAAGCGUGGGGAGCGAACAGGAUUAGAUACCCUGGUAGUCCACGCCGUAAACGUUGGGAACUAGGUGUUGGCGACAUUCCACGUCGUCGGUGCCGCAGCUAACGCAUUAAGUUCCCCGCCUGGGGAGUACGGCCGCAAGGCUAAAACUUAAAGGAAUUGACGG